This 892-nucleotide ribosomal RNA is filed under the name uncultured bacterium. Its description in RNAcentral is "bacterial SSU rRNA". It matches the Rfam family "Bacterial small subunit ribosomal RNA", at positions 505 to 1397 of the family's 1533-position model. The record is from RNAcentral.
GUGCCAGCAGCCGCGGUAAUACGUAGGUGGCAAGCGUUGUCCGGAUUUAUUGGGCGUAAAGCGAGCGCAGGCGGUUUCUUAAGUCUGAUGUGAAAGCCUUCGGCUCAACCGAAGAAGUGCAUCGGAAACUGGGAAACUUGAGUGCAGAAGAGGACAGUGGAACUCCAUGUGUAGCGGUGAAAUGCGUAGAUAUAUGGAAGAACACCAGUGGCGAAGGCGGCUGUCUGGUCUGUAACUGACGCUGAGGCUUGAAAGCAUGGGUAGCAAACAGGAUUAGAUACCCUGGUAGUCCAUGCCGUAAACGAUGAGUGCUAGGUGUUGGAGGGUUUCCGCCCUUCAGUGCCGCAGCUAACGCAUUAAGCACUCCGCCUGGGGAGUACGACCGCAAGGUUGAAACUCAAAGGAAUUGACGGGGGCCCGCACAAGCGGUGGAGCAUGUGGUUUAAUUCGAAGCAACGCGAAGAACCUUACCAGGUCUUGACAUCCUUUGACCACUCUAGAGAUAGAGCUUUCCCUUCGGGGACAAAGUGACAGGUGGUGCAUGGUUGUCGUCAGCUCGUGUCGUGAGAUGUUGGGUUAAGUCCCGCAACGAGCGCAACCCUUAUUACUAGUUGCCAGCAUUAAGUUGGGCACUCUAGUGAGACUGCCGGUGACAAACCGGAGGAAGGUGGGGACGACGUCAAAUCAUCAUGCCCCUUAUGACCUGGGCUACACAUGUGCUACAAUGGAUGGUACAACGAGUUGCGAGACCGCGAGGUUUAGCUAAUCUCUUAAAACCAUUCUCAGUUCGGAUUGUAGGCUGCAACUCGCCUACAUGAAGCCGGAAUCGCUAGUAAUCGCGGAUCAGCAUGCCGCGGUGAAUACGUUCCCGGGCCUUGUACACACCGCCCGU